GUGAGGAAUAUUGGUCAAUGGGCGGGAGCCUGAACCAGCCAAGUCGCGUGAAGGAAGAAGGCUUUCGGGUUGUAAACUUCUUUUACCAGGGACGAAACAAAUGACGGUACCUGGUGAAUAAGCCACGGCUAACUACGUGCCAGCAGCCGCGGUAAUACGUAGGUGGCGAGCGUUAUCCGGAUUUAUUGGGUGUAAAGGGCGUGUAGGCGGGACAGCAAGUCAGAUGUGAAAACCAGAGGCUCAACCUCUGGCCUGCAUUUGAAACUGUUGUUCUUGAGUGUCGGAGAGGUAAUCGGAAUUCCGUGUGUAGCGGUGAAAUGCGUAGAUAUACGGAGGAACACCAGUGGCGAAGGCGGAUUACUGGACGAUAACUGACGCUGAGGCGCGAAAGCGUGGGGAGCAAACAGGAUUAGAAACCCCGGAAGUCC
Molecule: ribosomal RNA, 428 nt
Filed under: uncultured bacterium
Lineage: Bacteria
Description: partial 16S ribosomal RNA
Rfam family: Bacterial small subunit ribosomal RNA
Source: RNAcentral